Molecule: unclassified non-coding RNA, 675 nt
Filed under: Hevea brasiliensis (rubber tree)
Lineage: Eukaryota; Viridiplantae; Streptophyta; Magnoliopsida; Malpighiales; Euphorbiaceae
Source: RNAcentral
AACUGGUGAAAACUAUCUUUCUUGGAGUAGAUGGCUGAUAAUAGCUCUGCAAAAGAUGUAAAUGUGAGAUGCCUCUUAUUAAUUCACCUAGUUUUGAGAGAUGGCAGAGAGUGGAUAGUAUGGUAGUGUCUUGGAUUCCAAAUUCAAUUUUGAAAGAGAUAGUUGAAGCUUUCUUAUAUACAACUUGUACCAAGGAACUUUCGCAAGAGUUAGACCAACGUUUUGGAAAGAGUAAUGGUCCACUUUUGUUCCAAAUGAAAAGAGAUACAGGGUAUCUUAAUCAGGGAAACAUGUUUCUAAUGGUAUAUUUUACUAAAUUGAAGAAGAAGUGGGAUGAGUUGUCUUGCUUGUAUAAUUUACCUACCUGCACUUAUGGGGCCUCUAAAGCAGUAGCUUGUAUUGAGAGUGAAGAUAGGUUUAUGCAAUUUUUAAUGGGACUUAAUGGGAGUUAUGACCAUAUUAAGAAUCAAAUCUUGAUUAAGGAUUCACUCCCUAAUGUUAAUAAGGCCUAUUCAAUGGCCUUACGGUGGAGAAACAAAGGGAGGUUCAGAAUUUGGUGGUUGAGUCAAGCGAUACUACUACUAUAAUGUUUGCUAAGUCACAGGGAUUUAAGAAAGACAGUGGUUCAACCAAUUUUCUUUAAGCCUGGAUUUAAGAAGGAAUAUAACAAGAAGG